UAAAAUGUUAGCACAAUGUGGCCUAA
RNAcentral lists this non-coding RNA (26 nucleotides) under Mus musculus (house mouse). Lineage: Eukaryota; Metazoa; Chordata; Mammalia; Rodentia; Muridae. The record is from RNAcentral.